This is a non-coding RNA of Vicugna pacos (alpaca), 346 nucleotides long. NCBI's taxonomy places the organism in Eukaryota, Metazoa, Chordata, Mammalia, Artiodactyla, Camelidae. The record is from RefSeq and is a predicted model, not a curated record.
GUUGUCAAAUAUGAUUCCUGGUGCUAUACAGUUAAUCCUCAUUGCUUAUCUGUUUUACUAAUAGUAGUGGGUAUCUGUUAAUCCCAAACUCCUAAUUUAUCCCUCCCGCUUCCCUUUCCCCUCUGGUAACCCUAAGUUUUUUUGUGUCUGUGAGUCUGUUUCUGUUUUGUACAUAAGUUUAUUUUUAUUAUAUUUUAGGUUACAUAUACAAGUGAUCUCAUAUAGUAUUUGACUUUCUAUGUCUGAUUUACUUCAGUAAGUAUAAUAAUCUCUAGGUCCAUCCACAUUGCUGCAAAUGGCAAUAUUUAAUUUUCUUAUGGCUGAGUAAUAUUCCAUUGUGUGUGUG